Rhizoctonia solani AG-1 IA is the source of this 81-nucleotide transfer RNA. It matches the Rfam family "tRNA". From Rfam's summary of the family: Transfer RNA (tRNA) molecules are approximately 80 nucleotides in length. Lineage: Eukaryota; Fungi; Basidiomycota; Agaricomycetes; Cantharellales; Ceratobasidiaceae. The record is from Rfam.
GGUUGGCUAGCUCAGUUGGUUAGAGCGUCGAGCUAAUAUUAGUUAACUCGAAGGUCGUGGGUUCGACCCCCCCGCUGACCA